This 495-nucleotide ribosomal RNA is filed under the name uncultured bacterium. RNAcentral describes it as "partial 16S ribosomal RNA". It matches the Rfam family "Bacterial small subunit ribosomal RNA", at positions 28 to 507 of the family's 1533-position model. The record is from RNAcentral.
GACGAACGCUGGCGGCGUGCCUAAUACAUGCAAGUAGAACGCUUAAGGAGGAGCUUGCUUCUCUGGAUGAGUUGCGAACGGGUGAGUAACGCGUAGGUAACCUGCCUGGUAGCGGGGGAUAACUAUUGGAAACGAUAGCUAAUACCGCAUAAGAGUAGAUGUUGCAUGACAUUUGCUUAAAAGUUGCAAUUGCAUCACUACCAGAUGGACCUGCGUUGUAUUAGCUAGUUGGUGGGGUAACGGCUCACCAAGGCGACGAUACAUAGCCGACCUGAGAGGGGGAUCGGCCACACUGGGACUGAGACACGGCCCAGACUCCUACGGGAGGCAGCAGUAGGGAAGCUUCGGCAAUGGACGGAAGUCUGACCGAGCAACGCCGCGGGAGUGAAGAAGGGUUUCGGAUCGUAAAGAUCUGUUGUAAGAGAAGAACGAGUGUGAGAGUGGAAAGUUCACACUGUGACGGUAUCUUACCAGAAAGGGACGGCUAACUACGUG